This 595-nucleotide antisense RNA is filed under the name Halosaccharopolyspora lacisalsi. RNAcentral describes it as "Saccharopolyspora lacisalsi Saccharopolyspora sRNA 389". It matches the Rfam family "Saccharopolyspora sRNA 389". The record is from Rfam by way of RNAcentral. Lineage: Bacteria; Bacillati; Actinomycetota; Actinomycetes; Pseudonocardiales; Pseudonocardiaceae.
ACCAGAUUCGUCGUGGUGCGGUGCAGAAAAUCCUGGCGGGCGUGGCGGACCUUGCGGUGCGCGCGAGCGACCUUGCGCUUGGCUUUGCGGCGGUUGUUCGAGCCGCGCUGCUUGCGGGCCAUCCGUCGCUGAUACCGCGCCAAGUUCCGCGCCUUACGAUCUAGGUGCUUCGGAUUGGCGAUGGUCUCACCGGUCGACAGCACCGCGAAGUCCUUGACUCCGAGAUCCACGCCGAUCGCUUCACCCGUCGGCGGCUGCGGUUCGGGCUCGUCGGUGUCCACGGCGAACGUCACGUACCAGCGCCCGUCCGGCUCACGGGAGACCACCACCAUCGUCGGGUUGAUCGUGGUCGGGUCGACCUCGGGCCACGACCACACGAAACGCAACGGCGUGGUCUGCUUCGCCAGGAACAGCUGGGCGUCGCGGAUGCGGAACGCGCUGCGGGUGUAGUGCGCGGACUGCUUGCCGGUGCGGGACUUGAACCGCGGGUACUUCGCCCGUCCGGCGAAGAAAUUGGAGAACGCGGUGUGCUGGUGCCGCAGCGUUUGCUGCAGCGGCACCGACGACACCUCGGACAGAAACCCCAGGUCCUCGG